This is a long non-coding RNA of Drosophila navojoa, 564 nucleotides long. NCBI's taxonomy places the organism in Eukaryota, Metazoa, Arthropoda, Insecta, Diptera, Drosophilidae. The record is from RefSeq and is a predicted model, not a curated record.
UGUGACUGUGCUCUGCACUUAGACUGAAUGCAAAAACAAACAUUUUACUUGAGUAACAUUUGUUAACUCCCAGCCAGAGUUUGUGUGGCUCUUCGCAAGUGCUCCGGCUGAUUUGUGACAUUAACGAAACUUAAGUGUACUAAGUGUAUCGAAACGAAUACAUUGACAGUUAUGCCCCAUACCAACUGGAUGCUGGGGAAGCUUUUCAGAGGCAACGAUUGACCAAGAAUCGAUAGGUCCCACUGCCUAUGCGUAAUAACCCUCAGCUGGAAUAUGUGACGUGGACUUAUUUACGUCCAGGGGCAUAAAGUCGCGUUAUGUAAAUUGAGAAUGUUGUUUGAUAAGCACAAGCAGCCAAAUAUUAAAUUCUCGGUUUUGAUGUUACUUCCAAAAAUGAUAAGAUUGCAGUUCCUCACGAUUCGGGAAGACAAGCCUCAGUUUGUAGCUCAACCAAAUGACUAAAUCUAUAAGCAGGCAUGAUGCACACUUAAUUAUGGAUGGUAACGCUUCGAACUGCCUCAUCCUAGAGGGUAUUUUAGGACAUGUGCGAUUCAAUGGCAUUCA